ACCCGCUGAACUUAAGCAUAUCAAUAAGCGGAGGAAAAGAAACCAACAGGGAUUGUCUUAGUAACGGCGAGUGAAGCGACAAAAGCUCAAAUUUGAAAUCUGGCACCUUCGGUGUCCGAGUUGUAAUUUGAAGAAGGUAACUUUGGAGUUGGCUCUUGUCUAUGUUCCUUGGAACAGGACGUCACAGAGGGUGAGAAUCCCGUGCGAUGAGAUGUCCAACUCUAUGUAAAGUGCUUUCGAAGAGUCGAGUUGUUUGGGAAUGCAGCUCUAAGUGGGUGGUAAAUUCCAUCUAAAGCUAAAUAUUGGCGAGAGACCGAUAGCGAACAAGUACAGUGAUGGAAAGAUGAAAAGAACUUUGAAAAGAGAGUGAAAAAGUACGUGAAAUUGUUGAAAGGGAAGGGUUUGAGAUCAGACUUGGUAUUUUGUAUGUCUUGCUUUCGGGUGGGGCCUCUGCAGUUUACUGGGCCAGCAUCGGUUUGGACGGUAGGAUAAUGACAUUGGAAUGUGGC
RNAcentral lists this ribosomal RNA (509 nucleotides) under Scheffersomyces sp. 3 HC-2012. RNAcentral describes it as "eukaryotic LSU rRNA". It matches the Rfam family "Eukaryotic large subunit ribosomal RNA", at positions 23 to 539 of the family's 3401-position model. Lineage: Eukaryota; Fungi; Ascomycota; Pichiomycetes; Serinales; Debaryomycetaceae. The record is from RNAcentral.